CAGCCGCCACGGGAAUACAGAGGGUGCGAGCGUUAAUCGGAUUUACUGGGCGUAAAGCGUGCGUAGGCGGCUUUUUAAGUCGGAUGUGAAAUCCCUGAGCUUAACUUAGGAAUUGCAUUCGAUACUGGGAAGCUAGAGUAUGGGAGAGGAUGGUAGAAUUCCAGGUGUAGCGGUGAAAUGCGUAGAGAUCUGGAGGAAUACCGAUGGCGAAGGCAGCCAUCUGGCCUAAUACUGACGCUGAGGUACGAAAGCAUGGGGAGCAAACAGGAUUAGAUACCCCUGUAGUCCCUGUCUCUUAUAC
RNAcentral lists this ribosomal RNA (301 nucleotides) under uncultured bacterium. RNAcentral's name for it is "partial 16S ribosomal RNA". It matches the Rfam family "Bacterial small subunit ribosomal RNA", at positions 509 to 807 of the family's 1533-position model. The record is from RNAcentral.